UUGCCGGAAAUUGCCUUAAAUUUAGAUAAAAUUGGUGUGUUUUAAAGAGAUUAUGAAAUAAUAUAGUUAUUUUUUAUGUUCCUUUUUAAAAAAACGUGUUUUAAAAAAAUGCCCCUGCGACACUGGAUUUAACGUGGCACAGAGGACAUUUAUUACCCUGUUUUCUUUUAUUUCGUUCGCUUUUAUAAACUACUAACUAAAAAUUAAUCGCGAAUUGCACUCUGUUUAGUAAAUGUAGUUUUGCUUUACUACCAGGCAGCAAGUUCGCAAUGUACAAAGUAGCUAAUUAAGUUAAAAUAAUUUUUUAGGUUUCGGAGUUUUCGCAGAAAAGAAUUUUACGAAGGGGGAGUUCUUAUUGGAGUAUCCUGGGGAACUUAUUAGCGCCGAGGAAGAAGAAAAAAAGCAGCAACGCUAUAACGCUAAAUUUGGUUCAUUCUUGUUUUUUUUCAACAAAUGUUGAAUAAAAACACCAAGAUGCCUAUUACGAUUGCACCAAAAGUCUCUACGGUAAGUUAAAAUGCUUUAGUCUUGUCCUGUAUGUUUUUUACCCUGUAAAAAAAGUCAUGACAAUACGCCCAUAGUACAUGUAGUAAGUAAGUGCGUUAUUUAGCGCGACCCUGGCCACACAAUGUAAUAUAUACUUCCUCAAUUGAAUAAAGUUUUCUAAAAGUGUUUCUUUCACAAUUAUCAUUAAUGUCCGAAACUAUGAAAAUUUUACUUUCUUUUUACUUCAAAGAAGUGCUUCUUGCGUACACUUACAUCUGCAACAGUCAAGGGAAGAUUUUUUUUUUAAACAAACAAAACAAGUUUAUAAAGAAAAUUAAAAUAUUGCGUACUUCUUUUUCUAAUUUUUCAAUGGUUGUACGUUCUCUAUUGUUGUUUGUUGUGUAAUAAAAGGGUUGGUGUGAUGAUUUUCACAGUAGUAAAAUAUUGUGUGAGGUCUGGAAAGUGUAGAAACAAAAACAUGGCUGUCAAAUGACAAGACUAUAAAUGUGCCAUUAUUAGACUCCAUCGCAUAUGCUUGUUUUGACGUUCAAAGUACCUGAAACGCAAAAUGUCUUAAAGAAAACAAAAAUUUAAAACAGGCUGUAUAGUUUUAUAGUUUCAUACUCCUACCGGUCUGACAGAAAUUUGUUCCCUUUCUUGGCCAAAGUUUCACAGUUUUCGCAGCCAAUUUACAAACAUCUUGAAAGGUGUUAUGUCUACUUACUAAAACAUUGGCAACUUUUAAAACUAUAUUGUACAAUAUUAUUUUCAUUGUCACACACUAUAUUGAGAUUGAUUACUUUAUAAGUAAAAAAUAGGGAGGGUUGAGUCGGGAGCGUGGUCCAGAGAAACGAAGGGAAAAUAAAAAACAAGUCUUUUACGAAAAGUCCUUUUAUGUAAAGGACUUUUCGUAGGACUUUUAUGGCAGAAAUUCUUUUUGGGCUGACUUCUUAUAAUUCGAAUUUAAUUUAUUUGGAACAUUCCGUUAUCGAAUUCACGAAGUUGUAAAAUAUACUUUACUGAGCGCUUAAAAUUUUGAUUUAAAUUUUAAAGAGGGCGUUUAAAGGCAGAUUUUCUUUGCGCCUCGGUUCGACUUUGAGUUCGCACCGUCUUGUUAAUGUAACCCUCUUGAUUUCAAUAGCUGUGUGUUGGCCCUGAAUUCAAAUGAAUAAAGAGUCUAAUGUAUAGUGGUUGAGCCAAGAACUUUUAACCUGUAUAAACGUUUAUUUUGUAGAAGAUAAAUUAUGAGGUUCGUCACUUUUAAUGAAAACUGUACUUGCGCCCGUUUUAUCAUUUUCAAUGUCGUUAAAGUAGCUCAUUGAAAAAUCAGCACCAAAUGAUACUGUAUUUGACCCUUUAGAAGCGACAAAAAUUAUUAUAAACUUUUAUAUUUUAAAGACUUUCUAGGUUGGUUCUUAUAAUCAUGAUUUAUGCUCAUCGUUUUAGCAGGUUAUUUAUAUAUAUAUGUUUGCUUUGUGAACUUAAAAAUUUCUCUAUCAAGUUUUUAGAAAUUCAAGUAUCACAUUCUCCCAGUGACUAAAAAGCUUCAGGAAAUGUCUAUUAAUUUUAGGCUUUGUUUUCUGAUAUAAAUUUUAUAGUGUUGACCGGUAGUUAUUUUGAAAGUUUAGAUAGUUUAAGUUUAUUAAACGCACAGAACAUUUGCAUCUCACUAGUUAUAUUAAAAGGACGUUUGUUCCCAAAAAGUUAAAUUAAAUAGUUGUUCGAGAGGGAACUAAAACGGGUGUUUUACUAAAUAUAUUAUUACCAGAUCAAACUGUACUGUAUUAAGUUAUUUUUUAUUUUUAAAAACAUAGUUGUAAAUGAAAAAAUUCUUUUAAGAUUAAAUACCAAAUGAAAACUGUAAAUGGUGUAUUAAUGUGUUAUUUUAUAUUUC
Long non-coding RNA from Hydractinia symbiolongicarpus, 2380 nucleotides. RefSeq lists it as uncharacterized. NCBI's taxonomy places the organism in Eukaryota, Metazoa, Cnidaria, Hydrozoa, Anthoathecata, Hydractiniidae. The transcript is spliced from 2 exons. The record is from RefSeq and is a predicted model, not a curated record.